Molecule: long non-coding RNA, 1422 nt
Organism: Triticum aestivum (bread wheat)
Lineage: Eukaryota; Viridiplantae; Streptophyta; Magnoliopsida; Poales; Poaceae
Exons: 6
Source: RefSeq, a predicted model, not a curated record
CUAAUCCCCUUCGAUCCUCCCGAACCCACGAGACUCAUAACCCUCGUCGAAGGACUCAGGGAAUCUCUCGUCCCAGCGCACGCCGCCAGCCUCCUCCACGCCACUGAGAGGAGCCCCGCUGCCGGAUCUUCAACGCCGCCGCCACGGAGGGGAGGAGCCCCGCCGGUGAGAGGAGGAGCGCCGACGCCGCCGCCCGAGUCUGCCCGACGCCCCGACGCCUCAACGCCUCAACGCCGGUGUCACUCCUCCAGCAUACUGGCCUUCUCCCCGGUGCCUCUUCCACGCUCAACCACCAUCAGCCUCCUUAACCCCGACCGAAGAGCUGGCCUUUUCCCCGAGGCCUGCUGCUUGGAUUCUUGUUGGGGUGGACGAGUUGCGUCCAUCUUGGGAUCCAGUUGUCACGCCUAAAUUCGUCGUGGCCAGAAAUUGCUAAGUUCCAGAAUAAGCCCUUUCCCCUCUACGAUAAGCUUGGUGAUCUGUAUGAUGGGCAUAUAGCAGAAGGUAACUUCAAUUUCACAUCAACUGAGGUUACAGAAGUGAGUGAUGGUGAUCUCGAAGUUGAAAGAGAGAAGACUGCCUUCUCUUUUGACCUGAAUCAAUACGGUGAUGAUUUACACAUGUAUGAUGAUCCAAGAGAUGCCGCCCCAAGUGAUGGUCCAAGUAUGCUGCCCCAAGUGAUGGUUCAAGUGAUGCUGCCCCAAGUGAUGGUCCAAGAGGUGCUGCCCCAAGUGAUGGUUCAAGAGAUGCUACACAAAGAGGUGGUGCUGCUACUUCAAGCAACAAGCAUGUGAAGGAAUCAAAGAAGGGUAAGAAGCGUGAUGAUCCUAUGGUGGAAGUGAUGGCACAAUAUGUGGAGAUCAAACGAAAGCAAGCGGAAGAGUCUGCUCUAUUGGUCGGGGCAAAAAAUGCCCAAGAAUUCUCCAUCAGCAAGUGCAUUGCUGUUUUGCACAAGAUGGAAAGCAUCCGCCGCGAUGAACGAGCCACUGCCUACAAAGUGUUCAAAAGUGUUGAGAACCGUGAGAUCUUUCUUAAUUCUGCCGCCGAAGAUGAAGAGAGUGCUGCAGUGUUUCUUCGGAGCGAAAUGGCAGAGUUGACUCAACGUACUUAAGGUUCUCAAGCACCAAAAGAAGCAACAAUAAACAAGCUGGAGGGAUAACUUUCUCUCAGAUUCUCAAAGAUAGAUGAUCAUGACACCAAAAGAUGGAUAUAUCUGUAUGCGAAAUUAUAACUGAUCUUGAGCUAUUCCAGAAGUACUUGUGUUGCGUUAUCUUUGCUGCAAAAUUAUGUUGGGGCUGUGAUGAACUGUUGUUGCUGCGAAAGAUCAUGUUGUCAUGAUAAAUUAUGAUUCCUGGGAUUUGGGAUUCAAAGUCAUGUUGUUAUGAUAAAUUAUGAUGUUGUGAUGAUAUAUUGAUUUCGAGUCAU